UGUCCUAUAAUGGGAGUCAGAACAACAGAAAAAGAUACAUUAUUUUCUGAGGAAUAGCUCAGCGGUGGCAGUUUAGGGGGAAACACCUCUAACGUAUAAUGUAUGGAAGAGAUAUUUAUACAUUCAUGUUCAUAACAGCAUUAUUCACAACAGCCAGAAGGAGGAAGCGACCCAAAUAUCCACUGACGGACGAAUGAUAAACAAAAUGUGGUCCAUAUACGCACAAUGGGACAUUAUUCGGUCUUAAAAGGGAAGGAAAUUCUGAUGCGUUCUGACAACAUAGAUGAACCUCGAGGACAUUGUGUUAAGAGAAAAGAAGGCAGUCGUAAGACACUGUAUGACUUCCCUUCCAGGAGGUACCUAGAAUAGUCCAACUUAAAGAAACACAAAACAGGACUGGUCGUGGCCAGGGGCUGGGGGCUGCGCAAUCAUUGUCUAAUGUGUAGAGUUUCAACCUUGCAAGAUGAAACCAGUUCUGGAGGUGAACAGGAGUGCACAACAAUGUGAAUGUACGUAAUGCCACUGAACUGCGUGCCUGAAAAUGGUUAGGAUGGUGAAUUUUAUGUUUAGCGUGUCUUUCCAAAAUUGAAACCUGUAGUGUAUGACUUUCCCGCUAUAAAGCAUUCUGAAAAAGAAAAAAAAAAUUCACCUAUGGCCCCACCAUCCAGACAAGGCUCCUGUUCACAUUUGGCUGUAUUUCCUUCUAGUUUUCUUUCUCCAUGCAUUUUUGUUAAGUGUUCACAGUCGUAAGUACCCGCUAUGUAAUGUUCUUCUCUGAUUUCCAUCAGCCUCCACAACUUGGAGGCCUCGUUGUAAAUAGCUACACGAGUUCUGUCACCUAUAUUAUCGGAAUUUACUAAAACAUUCUCAUGAGGUUGGACGUUGCAUUUGCUUCCAGUUGGUAUUCAACAGUAGGUAACGCUGUGAUAAACAUCUUUGUGUUUAAAGCCUUGCAGUCUGCUGGGAUAUAUUCAUAGGUUUAAAUUGCCAAAGGUGAAGUUCCCGAGUCAAGAGAUAGGAACAUUGCUGUGGUUGGGGAAGUGUGACUUAAAAGUGUGCUUUGCUACAGGAGAUUAACUGGGAGAAUUUUUUUUUUCAGAUAUGUGCUAUUUGGAUUACUGUAAGAAUGCAUAUAAUUUCCAUUAGCCCAAUGUGGAUGGUACUCCUUGUCUACAUCUUAUUAUUUAGUGGUUUGCCCAUUUCAGUGAGGAAAAACACCUUGGACUUAGAUACAAGUAUUUUUUUUGGAAAAGGAAAACCUCCACGUUUCUAGUAGAAGAAUAAAGACAAGUUGAAAAUUGUUGGCAUUUGAUGUGUGUAAAGAAAUUAUCCACAAAAUAAACCACAACGGGCGUUAUAAGCGAUUCUUUGGUAUAUAUACUUAUAGUAUAUAUAGUUACUAUAUACCUACCAAAUGCCGGAUACUUUACCCAUAUUACCACUAACACUUGAAAUCAUCCCAUUUUAAAAACCAGAGAGAAAAGUCUCAAGGAGGCUCGUGACUUGUCCAAAGUCACGCAACUAAUAACAAGCAGAGGAUGGCUUUAAAUUUGGGUCUUUCAUUUGGAAGCUUCUAUGGUCAGUUCACCGCCCCCCCCCCCGCGUGCCCCCAUCUAGAUUACAAAUGGUCACGGUCAGUGGAGGGAGUCCUUUCUCUUUGACACUUUGUUUGCAUCUCAGAGACCAAGUAGUCUUCCUUCUGACGUGGUUGGACCCCCCUGGCAGAUCCGGAGACUUGAGGAGGAUGGUCACGCGGUCGCAGGAGAGUGAUGAUGGAUCAAAGAAAGAGGAAGAGACAGCCGAUCUUAAGGGGUGAAAGUGCCUUCCGCUGUGAGGCAGGAUGAAGCCUCGGGUGGAGGGUUCACACGCACUCUAUUCGACGCCCCCGUCUCUCCUCCCUGACAUGACAUAAAUGUGACACUGGUUUUAGAGAGCCUUGUUUCACUUGGCACUUCCUCGAACCUGCUCGAGAUUUGAUCAACACCCCGACUUCUCUGGCUGGGUUUCUCUUAGGGCAGAGUUUGCUCUGGGAAGGGGAGCAAGGAGAAGGAAAAAGUUCUUAUAUUAUAUUAUAGACCCCCUUCUUGGAAAUUCAUAAUACACAUUAGCACCUUAAAGGUUCUGAGAAGUCCUGCCACCAAAACUCAACCCAACGAAACACAAUGUGUCUUUCGUUAACCCAGUGCCGCCCAGAUUUGUUUGAUGACUCUUUUCUUCCCCACAAAACUCUCACAGAUAGGCUCGAGUGUUGUUUUCCUGGAAAAUAGCUUGUGUGGAAGCAAAGAAGUCGCUCAGCUCCUAGGAUCUCAGUCCUGACCUCAUUAUUGACUUUCUGUGGUUCUUUGCUCAGGUCCCUUGGCUCUUUGGGGGCCUCAGCAUGAAAGGAGCCUGUUGUAGUGAUAACUUGACAUUCCCUGCGUUCCUUCUAUGCUACCCACGCUAAGCCCAUGCCUCCCCACACGUCAGCGUCAUGAUGCUGCAAUGUGGGAGGGAAUACGUGUCUACACUUAACAGCCUGUGAGAUGGAAAUUUAGAGAGGUGAAACCGUUUGGCCUGCGGUCACCUGGCUGGUAGGUGGGAGAAAAGAUACUCAGGGUCAGGGUUGUCUGGGCUGUUAAACCAUACGGUCUGGGGUGAUGUGGUAAUGUCGUAAAGUGUUAAACACUAACAUUAUUAAUAAUUCAGAGGCAUUUCUCCAAGAGUUUAUCUGUACAGUUAGUUACUGAGUUGAAUUCGAGAUACGAGCGUCUUCUAUUUAAACCUGACACUGAUGUUAUUUCUACCCGACAGAUCUCCUUCCAUUCCACCACGAUGGACUGACGUGAUGGAUUCUUCUGGAAGGUCAGUGUUCCUGUCCUAAAAGAGAAUGGUAAAGAAGAGAACUGAAUCUCGGGCCACUUUGGGACGAUGUAUCUUUUCUUACGAUUUCUUAUCUUAGAAGAAGGAGAAGCACUUUAGUUUUCUGUAGGUCUAAAGACGAGACCCGGCCAGAAAAUCAACACUGGAAAACGCAGGGAAUGAGAGAUACUGGUUUUACUUCUCACUGUUCAGAAUGAGUGUGUCCCGUUCUUCUCCGAGCGGCGCUGUUGUCCCUGGGGGAGUCUGCACUUAGGAGCACGCAGCGGACUAUCUCAUCACCCCUUGAAGACCUCGUCCCUGAGGAUGGCCCACAGAACAGCAGCCCUGACUUACCCGGGAGUUUGUUAGAAACGCAGAACACUGGGGGGCCUGGGUGGUUCAGUCAGCUGAGCAACUUGGCUCAAGCCAUGAUCUCGCAGUUCGUGGGUUCGAGCCCCACACUGGGCUCUG
Molecule: long non-coding RNA, 3309 nt
Organism: Felis catus (domestic cat)
Lineage: Eukaryota; Metazoa; Chordata; Mammalia; Carnivora; Felidae
Exons: 3
Source: RefSeq, a predicted model, not a curated record